CCCUUAGAUGUUCUGGGCUGCACGCGCGCUACACUGAUGCAUCCAACAAGUUUUUUCCUUGUUCGAGAGGACUAGGUAAUCUUUUGAGAAUGCAUCGUGAUGGGGAUAGAUUAUUGCAAUUAUUAAUCUUCAACGAGGAAUUCCUAGUAAGCGCAAGUCAACAGCUUGCGUUGAUUACGUCCCUGCCCUUUGUACACACCGCCCGUCGCUACUACUGAUUGGAUGUUUAAGCGAGGUUCUCGAACUGCUAGCGACUUAGCUUCGGUGAGGUCGCAGUGUGGGGAGUGAACCUAGCUUUGGUGUCUAGAGGAAGUAAAAGUCGUAACA
RNAcentral lists this ribosomal RNA (327 nucleotides) under uncultured eukaryote. Its description in RNAcentral is "partial 18S ribosomal RNA". It matches the Rfam family "Eukaryotic small subunit ribosomal RNA", at positions 1470 to 1796 of the family's 1831-position model. The record is from RNAcentral.